Molecule: ribosomal RNA, 250 nt
Filed under: uncultured bacterium
Lineage: Bacteria
Description: partial 16S ribosomal RNA
Rfam family: Bacterial small subunit ribosomal RNA
Source: RNAcentral
UACGAAGGGGGCUAGCGUUGUUCGGAAUUACUGGGCGUAAAGCGCGCGUAGGCGGCCUUGCAAGUCAGGGGUGAAAGGCCUGGGCUUAACCCAGGAUCUGCCUUUGAGACUGCAAGGCUUGAGAGUGGGAGAGGAUGGUGGAAUUCCCAGUGUAGAGGUGAAAUUCGUAGAUAUUGGGAAGAACACCGGUUGCGAAGGCGGCCAUCUGGCCCACCACUGACGCUGGAGCGCGAAAGCGUGGGGAGCAAAC